UUUUAAAUUGAGAGUUUGAUCCUGGCUCAGGAUGAACGCUGGCGGCGUGCUUAACACAUG
RNAcentral lists this ribosomal RNA (60 nucleotides) under Clostridium perfringens. Its description in RNAcentral is "partial 16S ribosomal RNA". Lineage: Bacteria; Bacillati; Bacillota; Clostridia; Eubacteriales; Clostridiaceae. The record is from RNAcentral.